RNAcentral lists this ribosomal RNA (502 nucleotides) under uncultured bacterium. Its description in RNAcentral is "partial 16S ribosomal RNA". It matches the Rfam family "Bacterial small subunit ribosomal RNA", at positions 30 to 523 of the family's 1533-position model. The record is from RNAcentral.
AUUGAACGCUGGCGGCAUGCUUUACACAUGCAAGUCGAACGGCAGCACGGGUGCUUGCACCUGGUGGCGAGUGGCGAACGGGUGAGUAAUGCACCGGAACGUACCCAGUAAUGGGGGAUAACACAUCGAAAGAUGUGCUAAUACCGCAUACGCCCUGAGGGGGAAAGCGGGGGAUCGUAAGACCUCGCGUUAUUGGAGCGGCCGAUGCCGGAUUAGCUAGUUGGUGGGGUAAAGGCCCACCAAGGCGACGAUCCGUAGCUGGUCUGAGAGGACGACCAGCCACACUGGGACUGAGACACGGCCCAGACUCCUGCGGGAGGCAGCAGUGGGGAAUUUUGGACAAUGGGGGAAACCCUGAUCCAGCCAUGCCGCGUGAGUGAAGAAGGCCUUCGGGUUGUAAAGCUCUUUCGCAAGGAAAGAAAACUUACCUACUAAUACUAGGCGAGGUUGACGGUACCUUGAUAAGAAGCACCGGCUAACUACGUGCCAGCAGCCGCAGUAA